UACAGAGGGUGCGAGCAUUAAUCGGAAUUACUGGGCGUAAAGCGUGCGUAGACGGUUAUUUAAGUCGGGUGUGAAAGCCCCGGGCUCAACCUGGGAAUUGCAUUCGAGACUGAAUAGCUAGGGUAUGGUAGAGGGAAGUGGAAUUUCCGGUGUAGCGGUGAAAUGCGUAGAUAUCGGAAGGAACAUCAGUGGCGAAGGCGGGUCUCUGGACAACACCUGACGCUGAGGCACGAAAGCCAGGGGAGCAAACGGG
RNAcentral lists this ribosomal RNA (253 nucleotides) under uncultured bacterium. Its description in RNAcentral is "partial 16S ribosomal RNA". It matches the Rfam family "Bacterial small subunit ribosomal RNA", at positions 524 to 776 of the family's 1533-position model. The record is from RNAcentral.